GGUAGCGUGUCCGAGCGGCCUAAGGAGCACGCCUCGAAAGCGUGUGUGGGUGCAAGUCCACCGUGGGUUCAAAUCCCACCGCUACCGCCA
RNAcentral lists this transfer RNA (90 nucleotides) under Isoptericola jiangsuensis. RNAcentral describes it as "tRNA-Ser". It matches the Rfam family "tRNA". From Rfam's summary of the family: Transfer RNA (tRNA) molecules are approximately 80 nucleotides in length. Their secondary structure includes four short double-helical elements and three loops (D, anti-codon, and T loops). Further hydrogen bonds mediate the characteristic L-shaped molecular structure. tRNAs have two regions of fundamental functional importance: the anti-codon, which is responsible for specific mRNA codon recognition, and the 3' end, to which the tRNAs corresponding amino acid is attached (by aminoacyl-tRNA synthetases). tRNAs cope with the degeneracy of the genetic code in two manners: having more than one tRNA (with a specific anti-codon) for a particular amino acid; and 'wobble' base-pairing, i.e. permitting non-standard base-pairing at the 3rd anti-codon position. The record is from RNAcentral. Lineage: Bacteria; Bacillati; Actinomycetota; Actinomycetes; Micrococcales; Promicromonosporaceae. RNAcentral also lists the same sequence under 6 other names.